RNAcentral lists this ribosomal RNA (496 nucleotides) under uncultured bacterium. RNAcentral describes it as "partial 16S ribosomal RNA". It matches the Rfam family "Bacterial small subunit ribosomal RNA", at positions 28 to 506 of the family's 1533-position model. The record is from RNAcentral.
GAUGAACGCUGGCGGCGUGCCUAAUACAUGCAAGUCGAGCGAACAGACGAGGAGCUUGCUCCUCUGACGUUAGCGGCGGACGGGUGAGUAACACGUGGAUAACCUACCUAUAAGACUGGGAUAACUUCGGGAAACCGGAGCUAAUACCGGAUAAUAUAUUGAACCGCAUGGUUCAAUAGUGAAAGACGGUUUUGCUGUCACUUAUAGAUGGAUCCGCGCCGCAUUAGCUAGUUGGUAAGGUAACGGCUUACCAAGGCAACGAUGCGUAGCCGACCUGAGAGGGUGAUCGGCCACACUGGAACUGAGACACGGUCCAGACUCCUACGGGAGGCAGCAGUAGGGAAUCUUCCGCAAUGGGCGAAAGCCUGACGGAGCAACGCCGCGUGAGUGAUGAAGGUCUUCGGAUCGUAAAACUCUGUUAUUAGGGAAGAACAAAUGUGUAAGUAACAAUGCACGUCUUGACGGUACCUAAUCAGAAAGCCACGGCUAACUACGU